AUUGAACGCUGGCGGCAUGCUUUACACAUGCAAGUCGAACGGCAGCGCGGGCUUCGGCCUGGCGGCGAGUGGUGAACGGGUGAGUAAUGCAUCGGAACGUGCCCAGUAGUGGGGGAUAGCCCGGCGAAAGCCGGAUUAAUACCGCAUACGACCUGAGGGUGAAAGCGGGGGACCGAAAGGCCUCGCGCUAUUGGAGCGGCCGACGUCGGAUUAGCUAGUUGGUGGGGUAAAGGCUUACCAAGGCGACGAUCCGUAGCUGGUCUGAGAGGACGACCAGCCACACUGGGACUGAGACACGGCCCAGACUCCUACGGGAGGCAGCAGUGGGGAAUUUUGGACAAUGGGGGCAACCCUGAUCCAGCCAUGCCGCGUGCGGGAAGAAGGCCUUCGGGUUGUAAACCGCUUUUGUUCGGGAAGAAAUCCUCUGGGCUAAUACCCCGGGGGGAUGACGGUACCGGAAGAAUAAGCACCGGCUAACUACGUG
RNAcentral lists this ribosomal RNA (484 nucleotides) under uncultured bacterium. RNAcentral's name for it is "partial 16S ribosomal RNA". It matches the Rfam family "Bacterial small subunit ribosomal RNA", at positions 28 to 507 of the family's 1533-position model. The record is from RNAcentral.